RNAcentral lists this transfer RNA (74 nucleotides) under Parasphaerochaeta coccoides DSM 17374. RNAcentral describes it as "tRNA-Arg (CCT) (tRNA-Arg-CCT-1-1)". It matches the Rfam family "tRNA". From Rfam's summary of the family: Transfer RNA (tRNA) molecules are approximately 80 nucleotides in length. Their secondary structure includes four short double-helical elements and three loops (D, anti-codon, and T loops). Further hydrogen bonds mediate the characteristic L-shaped molecular structure. tRNAs have two regions of fundamental functional importance: the anti-codon, which is responsible for specific mRNA codon recognition, and the 3' end, to which the tRNAs corresponding amino acid is attached (by aminoacyl-tRNA synthetases). tRNAs cope with the degeneracy of the genetic code in two manners: having more than one tRNA (with a specific anti-codon) for a particular amino acid; and 'wobble' base-pairing, i.e. permitting non-standard base-pairing at the 3rd anti-codon position. The record is from Rfam by way of RNAcentral. Lineage: Bacteria; Pseudomonadati; Spirochaetota; Spirochaetia; Spirochaetales; Sphaerochaetaceae.
GUUCCGGUAGCUCAGCAGGAUAGAGCGGCUGCCUCCUAAGCAGCAGGUCAUGCGUUCGAAUCGCAUCCGGGACA